CGGAUUUUGACCCUAAUUGACAUGUUCAGGUGAAGUGGAUAGUCCGUUAUUCUUUUCUUUAGUAAAAACUAAUUUCCAUUCAUUAAAUAUUACAUCCAAUCCAGAUUACAGCUCAGAUCAGUCCACCUGGGAGCUUGCAUCAUCAAAAACUGGCUAAACGACGAAGACAAAAAAAUAUAUAUAUAUAAAGUGCUGCUGCAUUUUGCGACUAUUCUAUAGAAAUAAUCUGAUUCAAUUGGUUUUUUUUUU
RNAcentral lists this long non-coding RNA (249 nucleotides) under Brassica napus (rape). RNAcentral describes it as "long non-coding RNA (BNAP_LNC016722)". Lineage: Eukaryota; Viridiplantae; Streptophyta; Magnoliopsida; Brassicales; Brassicaceae. The record is from RNAcentral.